Columba livia (rock pigeon) is the source of this 3212-nucleotide long non-coding RNA. RefSeq lists it as uncharacterized. Lineage: Eukaryota; Metazoa; Chordata; Aves; Columbiformes; Columbidae. The record is from RefSeq and is a predicted model, not a curated record. The transcript has 3 exons.
AGUUUGGAUUGGAAUUAAAUUAACAGCUCUGUUGUUCCAUGAGGUGAAUAUAAUCCACAAACUAACUGGACUAGGUUAGCAGUGGUGAAAUAUAUAAGUAUUUUUGAACACACAGGGAUCAAGCAGAUCUGUGCAGCAUUGAGAAGCUGUUUUUGUCAGAUGACUUAUGAUUAUGAAAUGCUUGUAGAAGGAAAGAGGUCUGUUUAUUUUUAGUUAGUUUUUAAUGAGAUCACAAAUUCUUCUGGAAGGAAGAUAAAGGAGACAACUUUGGGGUCUGGAGUAAGCUCGUGCUCACUUUUUAUUUUGGCACUAGAUCAUACCUUUGUUUGAAUCUCUCCUCACUGUUUAUUUAUGAAUAGUCAGUGAACUUUUCCAUACCCCAAAUUAGAUAAUUAUCAUAAACCCUCCUCCACAUGCAAAUAUGUAGAGGACAGCAAACGGAUUUCAGCUGCUGAAGCAAGCUGCUGUGGUCUUCGUGGAGAUUUUGCUGCAGGGAGUCACACAGCCUUUCAGAUGAUGUCAUGAGGAAGACUGAAGCCUGGCAACCCUUCCUACUUGGCAUUUGCUUGAGAAAAUCUAGCUGGAUACUUUUCUUCUGUUCCAAAUCACAAACCAGGCAAGCAUCAUACACAAGACAUUUGCCAUUUGCCUUUGAAUGAAAGCAGACUCAGAACGGCACUGAUCUCUGGAUUGAUGUGGCUAAACACAUUGAUGUACCUGCUGCCAGACAACCUCCGUGUACCCUUGAUGUUCUACAUUAACACUUCACUGCACGAGUCAGUUGGCUUAACCCUGUUGACUUCAGUGCACCUUGGAGCAAGCUGCUUGCCAGCAGCUGCAGUCAGAGUAUGUGUGAAUACGCUCCCUCACUGCAUCUGCAGGGUAUAUUGGAAGGAAAGUCAAUGAGGUUAACCUGUCACCUCCUACAGUCACCCAUGAGACAAGCAAGCUACUCCUGAGCAGUAAACUGAAGUAGUCAAAGCCAUGGUAGCUCCUCCAUACAAACACACACACUGGGCCCGCUGGAAAACAUGUGAAACACCACUAUGAUGUGGUGUCACCAGUCACUGUGGGUUUAUGAGUUAAAGUGCAUUCACUAUUUAGGUAUUUUAUUAAUAAUAUAUUUGUGGCAAUUAGGAAAGGCUAGUGUAGGUUUAUAAAUACAUAAAUACUCUUAAAAACAAUUAUUUACAACACUAUAGACACAAGUGCUUUUUUUUUCCUUCAUGAUUGAGAAUAACAUAUUUAUUAAUUUAUUUCCUUGUCCUGUAUCAUUUUCUUUGUAUCAGGUUCUUUGCAGCACCAGCCAGCCAUUUUAAGCCUGGGAACACAGUUAAUACAUUGUGUAUGGCCCAGCUGACUCUUAAAAGGCGGACUGCACCUUGAUAGAAUCAUCAGAUUUUUGUCUUUACAGAGCAACUUCUCCCUUCACACCUGGGCUGGUGGGGAUAGGCACAAACAGCCAAGUGCGUCAUCUACCAUGCACGCCUGGGUGUCCCACUGCUGUUGCGCGGUGCCUGCUGUUCUUUGUUUCUGCCAUUUUCCAGCCUCUCCCUACCAGUCUGGGCACACAAUGACUCCAGAAGACCAUCAGCAAAGCAAAUUAAAACGAUGUGCCCUGGAUUUUGCAACAGCGAGCCUCUCAGUUCAGCUUCAGAAGUUCAUUGUUCAUCUUCCGGUAUGAUACCGGCUCCCUCAGCAGCUCAGACAGCAGCAGCAGAUGGGCCUGAGAGUUAUGUUUCCGAGUAUGCCUGCCCCUCCUUGCUCUUCCUGUCUGUCUGUGUGCUCACAUUCUGUGUUGCAAAAUCACACAGCGUGUAUCCCAAUGCCAUCCCCAGCAGCACCAAGAGAAAAACCAUGGGACUAGCAGAAAAUGUAUCUAUGGGACUGAAAGAUACCUCAGGAUCCCGGGAUCCUGCUUCCUGCAGUCCCAGGUUGCAUUCUCCAGUUAAGCACCAUCAAUAUCAAUACUUAAUGGUAUUCUCUAAGCUGAGGCAGUGAAGAAAAUAGGGUUGUUAUCUAUCAAAGCACAUUUUAGUUUUUGACAAGUAAAAAGCAGCAUGGGGAAUGCAGUACGUCUGAAAUGAAAGCCUAAAAGAAAACUCAUAUAACAUCUGGUGUCAUUUAUCCCCUGUUGGCCUUUCAUAGUGUGAUAUGAUGAGCUUGUUCUGAUUUAAGAUCAGAUGAUUUGGUUUGAAAGAGGGGAGUGGGGGAUGUAGCCAGUCUGGCAGCAAAUUGGGAUACAAAAUCUGCUCAAAUAAUUGGAAACACGACAGAUUUUCCUUAACUGAUGCCAGUGGCAUCUUAGUUUAUCCAUCUCUCUCAGCUGAAUUUGUUAAGUGCAUUAUCUUAUUGGUUUUAAAGUUUUCAUCUCACUUAUUUGCAGGGGAAAAUGUGAGCAAAUCAGUCAUGAUGGAUUGCCUAAUUUUCUGGGCUGAAUAAACCAGUUUUAUAAGACUGUUGAUUCCUGGGUUAUUAGUUAAUAGAAACAUUUAUCAAUUUCUUUAUAGAGAAUGGAAAAAGAAAUCUUUAACCAAUGAUUGCAUUUUAAAACUUUCAUUAAUGUUUCCACAUAAUGCUUAGUGUUGGACAUGAAUAUGGUAAUCACAGAUUUAGGGUUGGCUUGAAGCAGAUUUUUUUUUUGGUCCUGUCUUCCUUCUCCUUUUCCUGUAAAAAAUAAAUAAAAUAAAAUAAAAAGACAAAGCAAAAGGAUGUAAUUAGAUUGUUAAUUAUAUUGCCUGUUCUUUGGUCAAAGAAAGUAUCAGAGGAAGAGGAAAACCAUUUCCUGGCUAGCAAAUGUGGUGUCUGUUUCUAUUUCCAAUUUUCUUUACACAAAUGGGGCCUGACUCUUUUAGCUUGUACCUUAAUGACAUAGCAGCCUCUGUCUUCUUCUCAGUAUACUGAAGUGCCAGCCAGAUGUUAACUCUGACUUCUGUGUGCCUUAAGCACAUCCUUAAAGUUACCUACUAUUCCUUGAAUCCUUUGACAUUCUUCGUUCCUAAGAAAAUACAUGGGGUUUUGUGUGCUUCACAAUGAAACCUCUGAAAAUGUUGGUUUGUUGAUAGAGAUCCGAGUGAUAUAAUCUACAAAGUGACCUUAUUUUUUUUUUUUUAAUGAAAAUAAAUAUUUUUACUUCUUAAAGAGAAAGACUGUCUUUUCAAUUCUACAAAGUGUCAGGUCUGAGCCUCAUUAAAGUUCAUUUUAAAAUGCAA